GUCGCUAUAGCUCAGUUGGUGAGAGCGCCGAGCUGAUACCUCGGAGGUCGAAGGUUCAAUUCCUUCUGGCGGCA
This 74-nucleotide transfer RNA is filed under the name Cryptosporangium aurantiacum. It matches the Rfam family "tRNA". Rfam says of the family: Transfer RNA (tRNA) molecules are approximately 80 nucleotides in length. Their secondary structure includes four short double-helical elements and three loops (D, anti-codon, and T loops). Lineage: Bacteria; Bacillati; Actinomycetota; Actinomycetes; Cryptosporangiales; Cryptosporangiaceae. The record is from Rfam by way of RNAcentral.